UACGAAGGGGGCUAGCGUUGUUCGGAAUUACUGGGCGUAAAGCGCACGUAGGCGGAUAUUUAAGUCAGGGGUGAAAUCCCGGGGCUCAACCCCGGAACUGCCUUUGAUACUGGGUAUCUAGAGUCCAGAAGAGGUGAGUGGAAUUCCGAGUGUAGAGGUGAAAUUCGUAGAUAUUCGGAGGAACACCAGUGGCGAAGGCGGCUCACUGGUCUGGUACUGACGCUGAGGUGCGAAAGCGUGGGGAGCAAACAGGG
Molecule: ribosomal RNA, 254 nt
Filed under: uncultured bacterium
Lineage: Bacteria
Description: partial 16S ribosomal RNA
Rfam family: Bacterial small subunit ribosomal RNA
Source: RNAcentral